UACGGGGGGAGCAAGCGUUGUUCGGAUUUACUGGGCGUAAAGGGCGCGUAGGCGGCCACCGCAAGUCGAUUGUGAAAUCUCCGGGCUUAACCCGGAAAGGUCAACCGAUACUGCGGGGCUAGAGUGCAGAAGGGGCAACUGGAAUUCUCGGUGUAGCGGUGAAAUGCGUAGAUAUCGAGAGGAACACCUGCGGCGAAGGCGGGUUGCUGGGCUGACACUGACGCUGAUGUGCGAAAGCAUGGGGAGCGAACAGG
This 254-nucleotide ribosomal RNA is filed under the name uncultured bacterium. RNAcentral describes it as "partial 16S ribosomal RNA". It matches the Rfam family "Bacterial small subunit ribosomal RNA", at positions 524 to 776 of the family's 1533-position model. The record is from RNAcentral.